ACCAGAGAAGUGAACAUAGGGCACUCCCUAUUGGACUGAAGUGGCUUGUUGCAUGGCUUGUCCCAUGAUUCAGAGAACUUUUAUGGCCAUGACAAGAUGCCUGUGUUUCUCAGAGAGAGGGUCUGCUAACUGCCCACAGCAUGCCGGCUGAGUUCUUCCUUCACAACAGCUACAGAACCCCUAGAACUUCAACUGAAUUGGUUCAACAGGACUGAAUACAAACAUGCAACUGCUGACUAUCUCCAAACUUGCUCCUGCAAAGCAGAAUUACUUUACUGGUGCAUCUAUGAAAAUCAGACUAAAUAUUACAUAAAUCCAAUGAGCUACCACAAUGCACAAGGUUUUUGUUUUGCAAUGAAUCCCAUCUGAAUGUUUCUUACAGACUUAACCAAAGCAUAUAUGUACAAGCUAAAGUGCAGAGACAGGUAGAUCUCUGUGCCUCACUGGCCAGCAAGUCUAGCCUAUUUGUAGAGUUCCAGAUCAUUGACAGAGACCCUGCCACACAAUACAAGGUGAGUAGUGCCCGAGGAACAACACCUACAGUUGAGUUCUAGCCUCUAGCACAGGUUCAUGUAUUCAUGUGCAACUGUAAAUGCAUUUGUGUCCAAUAAGACAACAUUUACAAAGGAAGCCCAAUGCUUUCCAUGGAGAGAUUAGUGAACAGAAUAUAUUUUUAUGUAAAGCAUAAACAAUAUACCUCUAGGAAGCGAAAUUUAUCACACCUAGCCCAGUGUGGACUUUGAACGAACAAUGUAUAGAAAGGGGAAAGCAUAAACUCCAUAACACAGACAUUUAGCUCCCAUGACUUCAGCAAAAAGACAAAGGUGAGGAUAUCAAGAGUAUAUUAAGCUGACUAUAUACCUCCUUGAUAGAAGAGGGCUGUUAGAUACUUCA
Molecule: long non-coding RNA, 894 nt
Organism: Mus musculus (house mouse)
Lineage: Eukaryota; Metazoa; Chordata; Mammalia; Rodentia; Muridae
Product: predicted gene, 52447
Exons: 3
Source: RefSeq, a predicted model, not a curated record